This 429-nucleotide ribosomal RNA is filed under the name Bacillota bacterium. Its description in RNAcentral is "Firmicutes bacterium partial 16S ribosomal RNA". It matches the Rfam family "Bacterial small subunit ribosomal RNA", at positions 355 to 776 of the family's 1533-position model. The record is from RNAcentral. Lineage: Bacteria; Bacillati; Bacillota.
UAGGGAAUCUUCCGCAAUGGACGCAAGUCUGACGGAGCAACGCCGCGUGAGUGAAGAAGGGUUUCGGCUCGUAAAACUCUGUUGUUAAGGAAGAAUGACAGGCAGAGUAACUGCUGCCUGUGUGACGGUACUUAACCAGAAAGCCACGGCUAACUACGUGCCAGCAGCCGCGGUAAUACGUAGGUGGCAAGCGUUAUCCGGAAUUAUUGGGCGUAAAGCGCGCGUAGGCGGUUGUUUAAGUCUGAUGUGAAAGCCCCCGGCUCAACCGGGGAGGGUCAUUGGAAACUGGGGAACUUGAGUGCAGAAGAGGAGAGUGGAAUUCCAUGUGUAGCGGUGAAAUGCGCAGAGAUAUGGAGGAACACCAGUGGCGAAGGCGGCUCUCUGGUCUGUAACUGACGCUGAUGUGCGAAAGCGUGGGGAUCAAACAGG